UACGUAGGGGGCUAGCGUUGUCCGGAAUCAUUGGGCGUAAAGAGCGUGUAGGCGGUCCGGUAAGUCCGCUGUGAAAGUCGGGGGCCCAACCCUCGAAUGCCGGUGGAUACUGUCGGGCUAGAGUGCGGAAGAGGCGAGUGGAAUUCCUGGUGUAGCGGUGAAAUGCGCAGAUAUCAGGAGGAACACCUAUUGCGAAGGCAGCUCGCUGGGACGUAACUGACGCUGAGACGCGAAAGCGUGGGGAGCAAACAGG
This 253-nucleotide ribosomal RNA is filed under the name uncultured bacterium. RNAcentral describes it as "partial 16S ribosomal RNA". It matches the Rfam family "Bacterial small subunit ribosomal RNA", at positions 524 to 776 of the family's 1533-position model. The record is from RNAcentral.